Molecule: non-coding RNA, 22395 nt
Organism: Xyrichtys novacula (pearly razorfish)
Lineage: Eukaryota; Metazoa; Chordata; Actinopteri; Labriformes; Labridae
Source: the annotation of a GenBank genome assembly
CAGCCUGAACCGCCGAGGGAAUCUGGGCUUAUGAAACUUUGAGGACGAGUUGUUCAUUUUGUUCUGCUCUGAAAGGGCUUUAGUGAUCACAGUUCCUCUCAGUUCAAGAGGUAUUUAAAGGAAAGGUGCCGCUCUGAGGUCUCUUAUUUCUGCUGGUAGUACAAACGCCGCCGGAGAGAGUCUGAAGAGAGCUCGGCUUUAAAGACGGAAAUGUGCUCUAAGCUUUUUGAAGUCCUUGUAGUGCAGGUAACAGGUAAGAUAGAAACUUUCAAACAUGGAAAAUAAGGAAAUAAUUAGUCGACAAAUGAAGUUUUUCAAUGCUGAUAAUAGGAGGAUGUGAUUUAAUAAUAGAAAAUUAUCUUUUCAUGCACUUCAUGUUUUCUUGGCCGGUCUCUGUUGUUAUGAAAACGGAUGAGACUUCCUUCAGGGUCUGCAGACAGCAUUACCCCAAAUUUUUACCUCAUCCGGAAUGGCAGCGAUUUUUACCGUCAGCCAAUUCCUACCAGAUCUGUUAGUGAGGCGAAUUACGUUGUGGAUUACGAACAGCAGGAAUCGCAAGAACUCACAAAAACCUGCGGAUUCAAAUGCGAUUGCGCGAUAACAAGUUGUCUCUAUAAAGACAGACACAGAGGCUUUCUACUUCUAUUUAUAAAAUCUGAAUCCUCUCAUCAAUGGUGUCAUGGGGGUGAAAUGACGUCUAAAAACCUUUCACUUGUUUGUCCGUUUGCAUGGUGUGAAAUACGAUCCUCCUGAAACACGGAGUGUUUUAUUUUGAAAAGAAGCCGGAUGUUUUAUUUUGUAUUUGGGCUCGACUUCCUCUCCAGCACGGGUUUAUCUGUGCUGAAUUUAUCCACCAUGCUGCGGGAUCCAAAAAAAAAUUGAACUCUUGUGAUCAGCGAUCAGAGUCCGGCGAUCCGCAAGGGAACAGAAAGAAGCCGGUGAAAAUUGACACGUUAACUUGAAUGUCUACGAUCGGAGGAUACGGCCUUGUCGUAGACGUGCAGGAUGCGUUGGAAAUUGGUGGUCAGAUUCUCUCUUUAGCCGUCAGCUGGCUGCGACAUGUGAACAUGAGGGAAGAAUUCUGUUCAUUUAGCAAACAAGGCCGAUGAUCUCACCCUCCAUCCCCCCCUAAACUGCCCUCACCCUUCUGUCAUGACUCAUGUUAAUAUUCAUGCAAAUGAAGCUGUGAGUCACCCAUAAUCUUGAUGCUGCAGAGAAGAUGAUGCUCUCCACCGUCUCCAUGCAGCAAACAUGUAGCUGCUCCUGGUGCGUACAUGUGAGAAAAAAACACCCUCGCCUUUUCUCAUUGAGAUUCAUCUCAGUGGAGCUCGUGUUACUGCUGCCGACACAGUCACCUCUGCAGCUCCAAUAAGCUCCGCAGAGUCACAUAGAGCAGCAGCGGUCGACUCGCACUGCCGCCCGAGGCUGGACAGACACAUCAUAACGUGGGAAGAGAUCAUGGAGCAUCAGUUUUACGUCUUUACUGAGCUGUGAAAUGAAAGAGAGAUGCAGCACAACCUCCAAACACUGCUCCUUUCAUUUGAAGAUGACAUUUGCAGCCCAUCUUAAUAAACGAGGAUGCUCAGUUAGACAAAUUUAAAGUAAAAUCUCUUGAAAUUUUUCCAAAAUUAGCGGUUAUUUUGCUAUCAGCUGUCAUUAUAAACAUUAAUAUUCAGUAUUUGAGCUUUGCUGUUCCAAUAAGUUAGAUGAAUUCACUUAUUAUAUUGGUAAUGGGGGCCAAAACCGUAGUUCUUUAAGUGGCCACUUGAGGCUCUCUUCAAACUUCAGUCUUCAACUUUGCAGCAGACAUUGACAUGUUUAGAACCUGAUAUUAUUGUUCUUCUUUGGGGUUUAUUAAUGAAGGAGGAUUACCCCAAAUUUCCCCCACGUGCAGAACAGCGGCGAAAAGGCCGUCGGCGCCGAUCACUGCUGAUCGUUUCCAUUCAAGUUAUGGUGUCACGUUCCACUGGCUUCUGCCCGGCCCCCUGCUAUUCAACGAGCUGUGUUGCCAAUCGCUGGGGUUCUAUUACCGAAAGCCACAGCAUGCCGCAUAAAUUCAGCACAGAUUAACCCGUGCUGGAAAGGAAGUCGGGCACAGACACAAAGUAAAACAUCCGGCUUCUUUUCAAAAUAAAACACUCCCCAUUUCGGGCAGAUUGUAUUUAACGCCAUGCAAACGUGGGCAGGGACAAACAAGUGAAAGGUUUUCAGACAUACUCAUAAAAAGUUUAGUUUAUUAUCUGUUUUGUAGUUAAAGAUAAAUCUUGCACUUACCCAUGGAUAAUUCCCAAUCUCCACAAAAGUGUUUAAUCUACUGAGACAACUCGUUAUUGCACGAUUGCAUGUGAAUUCACAGUACUCACAAUUCCCUUUGUCCAAAAUCCGCCACAAAAUUCCCCUCACAAAUGCAUCCGGUAGGAACUGGUGGACGGCGAAAAUUGCUGCUGUUCAGCAUGUGGUGGAAAUUUGGGGUUACAUUCAAAAUAUAUUAUCUGAUUUAAUCCUCCUUCCUGUUUCUGUAGCUAACAAACUGGGCAAAAACAGCUUAUACUUUAAAAACUUUGAUAGGUUCUCCUGGAGCGCUCGCCAAAUUUGUUUCAGUGUUAUUCCACCUCUGCGUUCGUCUGCACCUAUACCCUUUGGAGAAUAAUCAGGCAGCCAAUCAGAACAGCAUCUAAUUAACAUAGUCUAAUAUAACAUAGUCUAAUCCCCGCCCACUCUGAUCACUACAAGCAUACUGAGAGUAGAAACUGAGAGGCUGCAGUCCAUUUUGCAUCAGUGAUUGCAUACGACCUUUGACCUCUGUGAUUAUCGUGUUGUUGGCUUUGAAAUUUUUGCGUGCAAAUAUCGGACAAUAGAGUUUUUACUGAUUAAACAUGGAUUUGUUUUGGUUUACUGUGGUUUGUAUGAGGGUUAGGAAGUUUGUCAGGUAGUGAUGAGACCAGCUGUUUUAAAUUACUGGGUUCAUGUUACUGUGAACCGAAUUGAUAAACAGCUCAAUUAAUCAAUAUAUCGGACAUUUCUGGUGUUCAUACCAUCUGUAAGCUUCUAACAAUGGACUCCUUGGGGAAUCUGACCGACGGAUAUUUGGACUCAGAAUAAAACAGAUAAUUUUAAAAUCAUCUUUACUUCUGGUUUCAGUUUAUGUCAGAUGUUUGAACAAAAGGAAACUAAAAAAAACAUGAUCAGGCUCUGAAACAGAAGACGCACACUGACUUUGUUUGAAUCGUCCGUCUCAGUUUCAGAGGGAAACAAUCGAUCCCACCUCUGAGGGCCUUUUAUUACAUUAUUAGUCAAAGGUUCGAGUGGUUCCCUCCUCUGUUGUUCAAAGUUGUGUUAUUAAAUGCCUCUCACAUUCACCGCGGUCGUUCUCACCUUAUUCUGUUUCAACCAAAUGCUUCGUCAGUGCCGCAUCGUCUAAUUUAAUUUCCGUUUGUCCCCAUCGUCUCAGCUUUCCUUCACUCCUCUACAUCCUCACUGCCGUCCUUCCCUUUUCUUUUUUUUGUGCGUCUGGGUUUCUUGUCGGCACGCCGUGUUCUGAUCCACGGGGCUUUGAUCUUUGUCUGUCACCGCCGACAGACGGCGUGGCCAAUUUAAUUACUGGAACAAUCAGACGGAAAAUUACAGCAGGCGAGAGGUGGCUGCUGGAGAGAAGAUAGCUCACUUCCACAGAGGAAUCCGUGGACUGACUCGACCACCUGACUCGUUUCCUCUCGUGUUACAAUGAAAAUUAAACUCAUUGUAAUCCUGAAUCAUCCAAUUAUCCAAUCAUUACGAGCCCGUGCUACAUGCUCGCUCAUCCGCAAAUUAUAGCCUUUGUUUCAAAGUAUGCUCGCACAAAUGAUCCCGACAAAUAUCAUAAUCAGGGGUUUCAAAGAACAUGUAGGAUGUUUCUGGGGUCCUUCUUUAGGCUGCAAUUAUCACGAUUAUUUCAUUAUGUGCUGACAGAGGACCUUGUGUUUUCAGGAACACUCUGACACUCUCCUGUCGAUCUCUUGGAAGUGGCGUUUUUUUAGGUCUCACAUACGGGCCUUUUUCUGUCUCACCAACUACAGAUGUUAAACUCAGCAGUGUCAGUCAAGUGUCUCUUCUGUGUUUAUAACUAUUCAAUAAAAAAUACCCCACAUGAUAAUUACGAUAGAGUACCGUAAAAUUUCAAUCCGGACUAAAUAUCCUGUUUCAUUCAUCGGGGAAGUCUUCUAAAAUGGCAACUGGACUUCUUGGGUUAUCUGGAAGACAUUUUGCCUCUUCUCCAGAAGACGUCUUCAGUUCUAAGAGGGACUGGGUCUAGAGCUGAACUAUAUAGCCUAGGGAGAUAACAUCAGUGUAAUGGGGCGCUCACACCAAGCGCGAGUAAAAUCAUCUACCCGCCAAUUCAACCAGCGGGAUCAAGUGAUAGACAAAGUUUUUUUACAAUUUACCAGGUAAGCCUACCUCCUCAUUCACUUGCUCCUUUUUAUUCCGGUUUCGAUAACUGAAAGAAAAGGUAUCAUAUAAUUCCGGGCACCCGAUCAGUUUGUCCUCCAAUUUAGAUACCAGUGAACAACCGGCCGUUUUCAUACAUCAUCUGGCAACCUUCGUGCUGAUUAGUUAUCGCGACGCAAAUAUCUGCUCAAGUUGAGAUAUUUUCAGCUCCCGCGCAAUUUGCGUCUUCGCGAAUGAUUUUACUCGCGUUUGGUGUGAGGAGACAGUCAAGGUAAAUUUUAGUUUUUUCAAGUUUAGUCAAAAACUUUGAUUUCUGCUCUCGGGUCCUGCCUUUAAUUUUUCAUUCAAACCUGCCAACCGCUGAUUUUUUCCACUUAUAUCUAUUUUUAAAAAAAGGGUCAAACUGAUGAAACACUGACUAUGAACAACGACCUCAUACACUUCAGUCGAUCCCUCCCCUUUAAGGAUGUUGACUUAAACAAAACUCCAUCCUCUAUGAACCUGCUGUUUAUUAAAUGCCAGCGACUGAUCAUGCGUCCCCUGACAUUUCCACCGGCCUGUUCAAUAGUCAGAGCGUGCAGGUCGAGGCCGCGGCGGUGUCUUCUUUCACGUGAAGAGGCUUCGGUGGCACCAAAAGAAAGGAUUGUGGAUUUACAGCCUUGGUUCUCGGAGAGGUCAACCAUUACCUGGGUCUGAACACGGCUCAGGAGGGAAGGGGUUCAUGUUUAUGAGUAUGAAGUCUGAAAAUAACAAAAUACUUAAACCAUGGCUUGGUUGAGCCUCACAGAGGUCACUGUGGGUGGUCUGGUUCAGGGUCAGGGGCCCUGAUAUGUGGAUUUAACAUCCUGUCUAUAGGUCAAAAACAGCCGUGAUACGCUCCUUCAUUUUAAAAGCUAGGCUGCAGCCGCUUCCUGGAACCGAUUCAGACCAGUUUGGACCAGCUGUGAUGGUUUCACUUCCCAUUUUAAAGCCCCAGAGUCCUUGAUAGUGAUGGUGAGGGAUGAGGACUGCAUCAAUCUAACAGUGAGGACAGUACAGACAGCUGUGCCUGUAUUGACGUGAAGGAGGAAGGGGACAUCAAUCGAGCGGUCGCGGGCUGAACGGGGCCAUUAAUCUCUGGGGGGCCAAGGGCGCAGCUCCUGUUAGACCUUUGGUCACUGGUUCCUAUGGCAACCAUAACUGAAAUAAAUAUGUGCUACAGUGCAUUUAACAUUAGAGACCCCUCGCCCCUGCUCCUGAACCUGAACUCACACGCUCAGCUGGACUGGGAGUCAGGUGUGCGGUUGGUAUUCGGCGUGCGUGGCGAGGCGUCGCUGACUUCAGCUCAUUACGGAGGGAAAUGAGACCCGGCCCUCACCCAUCAUUACUGUAAUUGGUUAAACUGCAGCUACAUGUAUAUCUACCCACCUGCUGCUUAUUCAGCAACGACAAAAUCCCCCGGAGAAAAAAAAAAGCGGAAAACUCUUAUUGUGAAGUAAAUGACAGGCGAGUUUUCUCCAGGGAGGAGAAGAUAAGCACUCUAUAUUUAUAUUUCUAUAUUCCUCCUACAGUGACAGACUCAGACAUACUGGCAAUUUGUGCACCAGUUACUAACGCUGCAGGCUAAAAGGAUGAUAUUGUCAGAUUUUUGUGGAACUUAAAGUGACGUGAAGCACAAUAACCCUGAAAACGGGAAAAACUGAAAUGCAGAAAGCGUUAAAAACUGUCCCAGACGAGGGGAGAAGAUGUCAGCCUUUCUACGUCAUGACCUUUGGCUACGAUUGAUUGUAACUAAAAUUGUUUGAUUCUGAAGCGCUGAAUACUGGAUUAAAUAAAAAGAAUAAAGUUGAAUUUUAUCAGCUGAAGCAUUUUGAACUGACUGGAUAGAAACUGUGCUGUUCAGAGUUUGAACUUUUAAGAGUGAUUCUUGUUGAAACCUUCAUUUUUCAUGAAUCCAUCUGUGGUGCAUUUGUCACAUACCAACAGGAGACUUACUUACAUUAGACCACACAUUUCUGAGCGAUAUUUAAACUUCACUCAGCAACAACUCUGAAGAAACAGGAUCCAUAAGGAGGACUCCUGUGUUUUCCAGCACAGCAGCUGACUGUUGUCUUUUAACUGUCCAUCCGUCUUCUAUGACUUAUCCAGAGACGGGUCGAGGGGGCAGCAGCCGAAGCAGGAAGCCCCACUUUCUCUAGCGUGUCCUGGGUGUUUCCCCUGGUCUCCUACCGGUGGGACAAGCCCUGAACACCUCACCAGCCAGGCAUCCGGGAGGCAUCCUGGUCAGCUGCUCAAGCCACCUCAUCUGACUCUCGACACAAAGGAGCAGCAGCUCGACUCUGAGUUCCCCUGGAGGACUGAGCUUCUCACUCUAUCUCUGAUGGAGAGCCACUCUGUGGAGGAAACUCAUUUAGGCGGCUUGUACCCGAGAUCUUGUUCUUAUGGUCACUAUCCAAAGCCCCUGACCGUAGGUGAGGGUAGGAAAGUAGAUCAAUCGGUAUAUCCAGAGAUUUACCUUUUGGCUCAGCUCCUUCUUCACCACGACAGACCUGAGCAGCUGCACCAAUCCACCUGUAGAUCUUCUGCUCCAUUCUUUCCUCAUUCGUGAACAAAACCCAGAGAUACUUGGACUCUUCUACCUGGGGCAGGAUCUCACCCCUGACCCAAAGAGGCCACUCCACCUUUAUCCAGCGAUGUGGAGGUGCUCAUUCUCAUCCCAGUCAUUUCACUCUUGGUUGCGAACCGAAGGUCAUGGCCUGGUGCCACCAACAGGACCACAUCAUCUGCAAAAAGCAGUGACCCAGUCCUGAGACCACCAAAGAGGACCUCCUCAACACCCUUGCUGAACCCAGAAAUUCUGUCCAUGAAAGUUCUGAGGAGGAUCGGUGACAAAGAUCAGCCCUAGUGGAGUCCAACCCUCACCGAAACAAGUCCGACUUACUACUGGAUCUGUAGACCAAGCUCUGGUUCUGAAGGUCUCUUAACUGACCUCCCUUAAGUUACAUUGGAAGAGUUUUUAAAGUAUUUUCUAGCUGACCAUGCCUCCUUCACAUGCUGACACAAUGAUUGAUAAAAACGAGUUGAACAGAUCUCCUUUAGGAUCUUUACUACAGCGACCCAUUGAAAUGGUUCGAUGUCCCACUUCUGGGCCUCAGCCCUGCAGGUGAGAACUCAUAAAUUAAGACCUGAUCCUUUAGUCUGAAGUGUAGUCCACAAAUACAACUUGUAGCUGCCUCAAAGAUGUUAAAUCAAGCAGCUCGAUCUCUAAUUUUUACACACAUGAAAAACACUUCUCCUCCCACUUGUAGGGCCUCUUUUCAGCCAUUGUGAAAAGCGAAGAAGCAUCUGUAGUGUUCUCACCCCUCCUCUGGCCUGGAUUGAUUUUAUGUAGUGUUCCAAGAGAAGAGCGGUAUAAUGAGAUCACAGCAUGCAUUUUUCAUGGACAGGAUGAAAGCGAUACAGACGCGGCGCAGAAUCUACAUUUCAAAUAAACUGCAGCCCACGUCCCUCCUAAAAAAAAAACCCUCAGAGUUCAUCCCUCAACGCUCUGCCUGUGAAGACAGUAACCUUUACCAACAGCAGGACCGAAACUGAGAGAGGAAACAGAGAGAGGAAACAGAGAGAGGAAACAGAGAGGCGGUUGAAGAUCAUCAUUAACAGGUCUUGGUGUUUGAACUGCGAGAAAAACAGAUUUUAACUUUAGAUGUAAAGAUCGAUGGAGGAUUUGUGAAGCUAAUGGUGUUUUUGGAUUCACUACCCAAGGUAGACCCUGGAUUUCCACCACAUUCGGAAUGGCUUAAAUCUGUAACAGUGGCGAUUUUACGCCAAUUCUUAACGGAUCUGUUUGUGAGGUAAAUUUCUUGGUGAAUUAUGGACAGCAGGAACUGUGAGAACUCACAAGAACCUGCAGAUUCACGUGCAAUCACGCGAUAACAAGUUUGUCAGGUUCAAGUGGACAUAUUUAACAAACUCGGAGGAUUCAGGAACACAGAAGAGACCAAAAGACGUUUUACUUGCACAAGGAGAGAAUGGCUGAGGAGAACUUCUCGAGUACUCGGUCAGUCCCUCUCUGCCAGUUCCUCUCCAACAGCACUCUUUUAUUUCAUGAUUAUGCAUAGUCAUCCAUAUCUGCUACCUCAGCAACGGUCACUUUUGCAAUACUUUCGGUUGACCUUUACAAAAGAGGAACAUGAUUAUUUUCAUAAUUUUUUGCAUAUGUAUGGCAUUAUUUUUAAGGAACAUAGGUGUUUUCACAUCUUUGCACAACACAUGGUACAGAGUUCAACACUUUCAUAUCCCCUUCUGCAGAACUAAAAGAUUAAGAGUUUAAGAUCAUUCUUCAACGAUUCAAAUCAUACUGAAAUCCAUCUGAAAGAAUUAAAUCACAUAUUAAUCAUAUAGAAUCAUCUAAAGCAUGAUAACUUUUUUAUAGAUUUUUCCAUCAAAGUUGUCUUUAGCCACAGAGGCUAACCAUAUAAGCAGUAGAUUGUGUCCUUCCAGAGGAGGAAAUCUACUUCUAGACUUCUAGAAUCAGCAUCUCCUCAUCCAUGGUGUCAUCAGGGUGAAAUGACGUCUAAAAACCUUUCACUUGUUCGUCUCCGCCCGUUUGCAUGGUGUGAAAUACGAUCCUCCUGAGUGUUUUAUUUUGAAAAGAAGCCGGAUGUUUUAUUUUGUGUCUGUCCACUUUGGCAGCAGCUGUGUACAAAGUUUAACAUUUUAACAAGAAACCCAAGUGGGAUUGGCUCAUUUUCGGAGCAGCCCCCCUAGUGGUUGUUCUAGUAACUGCAGUAUGUGAUGCUUUAGCAGUGUUGGGUCUAACCUGAGAGCUGUCAUCUGUCGGCGGCCUGAAAAUAGACUUGCUGCCAUUUCCUGUGGCUGUGUGACAGUGUGCGAGGGGAGACAGCUCAAUAACAGUCAUUACAUUCUGAUAAAGGCGGUAAUUUCAUUGCAGGAGGCAGGAGCUCUGUGUGUGUGUGUGUGUGUGUGUGUGUGUGUGUGUGUGUGUGUGUGUGUGUUGGGCUCGCCCUCCAGGACUUCACCAUGCAGAUGUCCUGAUGUAAAGGCACGUUUUCACACUCAUGCCUCGCUCUCAGCGCGCUCAUUACAGCGAGACAUAUCAUGGUAACCUUUAGCUAGCCUGAGGACGUACCGCUCUUUCGCCGACUUUACAACAUAUUUUCAAAAACGGUAAAAUAAUCUAUCCUGAGAUCUCGUGGAGGGUUGGUGGUACGAUCCCGGCUCCCUUAAUCCACUUGCAGUCGUAUCCCUAGGCAGAACAUUGAAAUCUAAUUGCUCCCAGUGGCAUAGCUGGUGUGACUGAGUGUUAACUGGAUGAGUUGACACUGAUGGCCACUUAAUAUAGCAGCCUCUACCACCAGUGUAUAACCUCUGGCUAAAACGCUACAGGCAUAAAGCACGAGUGCCACACACAAACACAGAUGCAGAUAUAGAAUUGGGAUUUUAAUCGUAUUAAAGAUUUGAUGACGUAAGAAAAAAUUAGCAGGAAACUUCUAUUUUUGUGGCGUUACCAUUGACUGAACGGAGAGGUUUAAGUUCAAUUCAUCAGAAGUUUAUGCCCACAUCUCUUAAUAUAGCUGGUUUUGUGGAGACUGUGGUCUGAGCUCAUGACUCCUCCGAGGUUUAUUAUCCACCACAGCUCCACGGACUGGAACAAUCUCUGCAGCUUCUCAUUUGCUGAGGUUAUUUCUGAGGGUUUAUUUCUGCAGAAGUCCUCGUACUCCGCUGGCAUGUAUCCUGAUUGAGCGACAGUUUGUGCAUUUCAAUUUCAUCCUGACAGGAAAAAUAGCCACUUCUGGUGGCUGGGGGGGUUGUGACAGUUUUGAUAAAUCCUGAUCAUAACCUCUGUCCUCUGGGAAUUUGCAAAUGAGUCUGUCGUUGGAAGAGAGAGCAUUUCUUACCCCGUCCCCUCUGGUUGCUGCUCAACUCGCCAUUUCUGUUUUCAUUUUAUAGUCGGGCUGUGACCCGAUUAAAAACAUUCAUCAAACUAAUCAGAGGUUUGUGGUGAAUUAAUUGCAAUUAAUCGCAUUUUAAUUGCAUGUAAAUAUUUGAUCUGAGAACAGUGAGAAUCAUUACUUUUUAAAUGUUAAAUUUUUUUAAAGAUGAUACUUAACCAAGACCAACAGAUCAGCGUUUUUUUAUGCCAUAAUAGAGUCCAGCAAUUUCAGGAUGUUAAUUUUUCUGACGUGGACUUACUCAUCUUAGCUCUGAAUCCACUCAUCUGGUCGAGUGUGGGUCGCUGUACUCGGAGUCGGACUGGCAUUAGCUUCCACGCUAGCUGCAACAUGUUUAGCAUUCAGGUGAUACCGAAGGGGUUAAGGUUAGGGUUAAAGGAAUAUUCCGGCGAAAAAUUAAGUUAGGGUCAAACACACCGUAACACAGAGUUAGACACCCCGUCGAGGGGUGGAUGUUGCCGACUGCUUGCUUCUCUAGUUAUACCAACUUUAGUAAAGACCACAGGAUAGCAACACAGAGACGCUCAACCAAAACGCCACUCUAUAGCCACAAAUAAUGCUCAGAACAGCACCUAACUUCAUCAACAGGACAUAUACAAACAAGCGGCUGCUGGAAGAGAGUAGGUGAGUUGUGUUUAGUCUCUCUGCUAAAGAAUUUAGUCAAAGUUAAAAAGACGUUUGGUGUCUAGUACUAUGGCUGUGACCCUCUAUGUCCUGUUGAUGAAGUUAGGUGCUGUUCUGAGCAUUUUUUGUGGCUAUAGAGUGGUGUUUUAGUUGAGGGCGUGGCUCUCUGUAUUGCUAUCCUGCGGUCGUUACUAAAGUUGGUAUAACUAGAGAAGCAAGCGGUCGACAACAUUCAUCUGUUGAGGGGGGGUCUAACUCUGACCCUAAAUUCGCCGGAAUAUCCCUUUAAGGUUAGGGUUAGGGUCUGGGCUUCCAUCCAUCAAAAAGGCCCAUCCACGCCUGAGCCAAUCAAAGCACAUUUAUCCGCGACCUCGUUCAUUUUUCUAUGCGCAGGGUGGGACUGGAAUCACUGCUGCACUCACGCUCGGGGACGCUGGUAUAAGCGGUAAUUUGGGGUUACAUUCAAAAUAUAUUAUCUGAUUUAAUCCUCCUUCCUGUUUCUGUAGCUAACAAACUGGGCAAAAACAGCUUAUACUUUAAAAACUUUGAUAGGUUCUCCUGGAGCGCUCGCCAAAUUUGUUUCGGUGUUAUUCCACCUCUGCGUUCGUCUGCACCUAUACCCUUUGGAGAAUAAUCAGGCAGCCAAUCAGAACAGCAUCUAAUUAACAUAGUCUAAUAUAACAUAGUCUAAUCCCCGCCCACUCUGAUCACUACAAGCAUACUGAGAGUAGAAACUGAGAGGCUGCAGUCCAUUUUGCAUCAGUGAUUGCAUACGACCUUUGACCUCUGUGAUUAUCGUGUUGUUGGCUUUGAAAUUUUUGCGUGCAAAUAUCGGACAAUAGAGUUUUUACUGAUUAAACAUGGAUUUGUUUUGGUUUACUGUGGUUUGUAUGAGGGUUAGGAAGUUUGUCAGGUAGUGAUGAGACCAGCUGUUUUAAAUUACUGGGUUCAUGUUACUGUGAACCGAAUUGAUAAACAGCUCAAUUAAUCAAUAUAUCGGACAUUUCUGGUGUUCAUACCAUCUGUAAGCUUCUAACAAUGGACUCCUUGGGGAAUCUGACCGACGGAUAUUUGGACUCAGAAUAAAACAGAUAAUUUUAAAAUCAUCUUUACUUCUGGUUUCAGUUUAUGUCAGAUGUUUGAACAAAAGGAAACUAAAAAAAAACAUGAUCAGGCUCUGAAACAGAAGACGCACACUGACUUUGUUUGAAUCGUCCGUCUCAGUUUCAGAGGGAAACAAUCGAUCCCACCUCUGAGGGCCUUUUAUUACAUUAUUAGUCAAAGGUUCGAGUGGUUCCCUCCUCUGUUGUUCAAAGUUGUGUUAUUAAAUGCCUCUCACAUUCACCGCGGUCGUUCUCACCUUAUUCUGUUUCAACCAAAUGCUUCGUCAGUGCCGCAUCGUCUAAUUUAAUUUCCGUUUGUCCCCAUCGUCUCAGCUUUCCUUCACUCCUCUACAUCCUCACUGCCGUCCUUCCCUUUUCUUUUUUUUGUGCGUCUGGGUUUCUUGUCGGCACGCCGUGUUCUGAUCCACGGGGCUUUGAUCUUUGUCUGUCACCGCCGACAGACGGCGUGGCCAAUUUAAUUACUGGAACAAUCAGACGGAAAAUUACAGCAGGCGAGAGGUGGCUGCUGGAGAGGAGAUAGCUCACUUCCACAGAGGAAUCCGUGGACUGACUCGACCACCUGACUCGUUUCCUCUCGUGUUACAAUGAAAAUUAAACUCAUUGUAAUCCUGAAUCAUCCAAUUAUCCAAUCAUUACGAGCCCGUGCUACAUGCUCGCUCAUCCGCAAAUUAUAGCCUUUGUUUCAAAGUAUGCUCGCACAAAUGAUCCCGACAAAUAUCAUAAUCAGGGGUUUCAAAGAACAUGUAGGAUGUUUCUGGGGUCCUUCUUUAGGCUGCAAUUAUCACGAUUAUUUCAUUAUGUGCUGACAGAGGACCUUGUGUUUUCAGGAACACUCUGACACUCUCCUGUCGAUCUCUUGGAAGUGGCGUUUUUUUAGGUCUCACAUACGGGCCUUUUUCUGUCUCACCAACUACAGAUGUUAAACUCAGCAGUGUCAGUCAAGUGUCUCUUCUGUGUUUAUAACUAUUCAAUAAAAAAUACCCCACAUGAUAAUUACGAUAGAGUACCGUAAAAUUUCAAUCCGGACUAAAUUUCCUGUUUCAUUCAUCGGGGAAGUCUUCUAAAAUGGCAACUGGACUUCUUGGGUUAUCUGGAAGACAUUUUGCCUCUUCUCCAGAAGACGUCUUCAGUUCUAAGAGGGACUGGGUCUAGAGCUGAACUAUAUAGCCUAGGGAGAUAACAUCAGUGUAAUGGGGCGCUCACACCAAGCGCGAGUAAAAUCAUCUACCCGCCAAUUCAACCAGCGGGAUCAAGUGAUAGACAAAGUUUUUUUACAAUUUACCAGGUAAGCCUACCUCCUCAUUCACUUGCUCCUUUUUAUUCCGGUUUCGAUAACUGAAAGAAAAGGUAUCAUAUAAUUCCGGGCACCCGAUCAGUUUGUCCUCCAAUUUAGAUACCAGUGAACAACCGGCCGUUUUCAUACAUCAUCUGGCAACCUUCGUGCUGAUUAGUUAUCGCGACGCAAAUAUCUGCUCAAGUUGAGAUAUUUUCAGCUCCCGCGCAAUUUGCGUCUUCGCGAAUGAUUUUACUCGCGUUUGGUGUGAGGAGACAGUCAAGGUAAAUUUUAGUUUUUUCAAGUUUAGUCAAAAACUUUGAUUUCUGCUCUCGGGUCCUGCCUUUAAUUUUUCAUUCAAACCUGCCAACCGCUGAUUUUUUCCACUUAUAUCUAUUUUUAAAAAAAGGGUCAAACUGAUGAAACACUGACUAUGAACAACGACCUCAUACACUUCAGUCGAUCCCUCCCCUUUAAGGAUGUUGACUUAAACAAAACUCCAUCCUCUAUGAACCUGCUGUUUAUUAAAUGCCAGCGACUGAUCAUGCGUCCCCUGACAUUUCCACCGGCCUGUUCAAUAGUCAGAGCGUGCAGGUCGAGGCCGCGGCGGUGUCUUCUUUCACGUGAAGAGGCUUCGGUGGCACCAAAAGAAAGGAUUGUGGAUUUACAGCCUUGGUUCUCGGAGAGGUCAACCUUUACCUGGGUCUGAACACGGCUCAGGAGGGAAGGGGUUCAUGUUUAUGAGUAUGAAGUCUGAAAAUAACAAAAUACUUAAACCAUGGCUUGGUUGAGCCUCACAGAGGUCACUGUGGGUGGUCUGGUUCAGGGUCAGGGGCCCUGAUAUGUGGAUUUAACAUCCUGUCUAUAGGUCAAAAACAGCCGUGAUACGCUCCUUCAUUUUAAAAGCAAGGCUGCAGCCGCUUCCUGAAACCGAUUCAGACCAGUUUGGACCAGCUGUGAUGGUUUCACUUCCCAUUUUAAAGCCCCAGAGUCCUUGAUAGUGAUGGUGAGGGAUGAGGACUGCAUCAAUCUAACAGUGAGGACAGUACAGACAGCUGUGCCUGUAUUGACGUGAAGGAGGAAGGGGACAUCAAUCGAGCGGUCGCGGGCUGAACGGGGCCAUUCAUCUCUGGGGGGCCAAGGGCGCAGCUCCUGUUAGACCUUUGGUCACUGGUUCCUAUGGCAACCAUAACUGAAAUAAAUAUGUGCUACAGUGCAUUUAACAUUAGAGACCCCUCGCCCCUGCUCCUGAACCUGAACUCACACGCUCAGCUGGACUAGGAGUCAGGUGUGCGGUUGGUAUUCGGCGUGCGUGGCGAGGCGUCGCUGACUUCAGCUCAUUACGGAGGGAAAUGAGACCCGGCCCUCACCCAUCAUUACUGUAAUUGGUUAAACUGCAGCUACAUGUAUAUCUACCCACCUGCUGCUUAUUCAGCAACGACAAAAUCCCCCGGAGAAAAAAAAAAGCGGAAAACUCUUAUUGUGAAGUAAAUGACAGGCGAGUUUUCUCCAGGGAGGAGAAGAUAAGCACUCUAUAUUUAUAUUUCUAUAUUCCUCCUACAGUGACAGACUCAGACAUACUGGCAAUUUGUGCACCAGUUACUAACGCUGCAGGCUAAAAGGAUGAUAUUGUCAGAUUUUUGUGGAACUUAAAGUGACGUGAAGCACAAUAACCCUGAAAACGGGAAAAACUGAAAUGCAGAAAGCGUUAAAAACUGUCCCAGACGAGGGGAGAAGAUGUCAGCCUUUCUACGUCAUGACCUUUGGCUACGAUUGAUUGUAACUAAAAUUGUUUGAUUCUGAAGCGCUGAAUACUGGAUUAAAUAAAAAGAAUAAAGUUGAAUUUUAUCAGCUGAAGCAUUUUGAACUGACUGGAUAGAAACUGUGCUGUUCAGAGUUUGAACUUUUAAGAGUGAUUCUUGUUGAAACCUUCAUUUUUCAUGAAUCCAUCUGUGGUGCAUUUGUCACAUACCAACAGGAGACUUACUUACAUUAGACCACACAUUUCUGAGCGAUAUUUAAACUUCACUCAGCAACAACUCUGAAGAAACAGGAUCCAUAAGGAGGACUCCUGUGUUUUCCAGCACAGCAGCUGACUGUUGUCUUUUAACUGUCCAUCCGUCUUCUAUGACUUAUCCAGAGACGGGUCGAGGGGGCAGCAGCCGAAGCAGGAAGCCCCACUUUCUCUAGCGUGUCCUGGGUGUUUCCCCUGGUCUCCUACCGGUGGGACAAGCCCUGAACACCUCACCAGCCAGGCAUCCGGGAGGCAUCCUGGUCAGCUGCUCAAGCCACCUCAUCUGACUCUCGACACAAAGGAGCAGCAGCUCGACUCUGAGUUCCCCUGGAGGACUGAGCUUCUCACUCUAUCUCUGAUGGAGAGCCACUCUGUGGAGGAAACUCAUUUCGGCGGCUUGUACCCGAGAUCUUGUUCUUAUGGUCACUAUCCAAAGCCCCUGACCGUAGGUGAGGGUAGGAAAGUAGAUCAAUCGGUAUAUCCAGAGAUUUACCUUUUGGCUCAGCUCCUUCUUCACCACGACAGACCUGAGCAGCUGCACCAAUCCACCUGUAGAUCUUCUGCUCCAUUCUUUCCUCAUUCGUGAACAAAACCCAGAGAUACUUGGACUCUUCUACCUGGGGCAGGAUCUCACCCCUGACCCAAAGAGGCCACUCCACCUUUAUCCAGCGAUGUGGAGGUGCUCAUUCUCAUCCCAGUCAUUUCACUCUCGGUUGCGAACCGAAGGUCAUGGCCUGGUGCCACCAACAGGACCACAUCAUCUGCAAAAAGCAGUGACCCAGUCCUGAGACCACCAAAGAGGACCUCCUCAACACCCUUGCUGAACCCAGAAAUUCUGUCCAUGAAAGUUCUGAGGAGGAUCGGUGACAAAGAUCAGCCCUAGUGGAGUCCAACCCUCACCGAAACAAGUCCGACUUACUACUGGAUCUGUAGACCAAGCUCUGGUUCUGAAGGUCUCUUAACUGACCUCCCUUAAGUUACAUUGGAAGAGUUUUUAAAGUAUUUUCUAGCUGACCAUGCCUCCUUCACAUGCUGACACAAUGAUUGAUAAAAACGAGUUGAACAGAUCUCCUUUAGGAUCUUUACUACAGCGACCCAUUGAAAUGGUUCGAUGUCCCACUUCUGGGCCUCAGCCCUGCAGGUGAGAACUCAUAAAUUAAGACCUGAUCCUUUAGUCUGAAGUGUAGUCCACAAAUACAACUUGUAGCUGCCUCAAAGAUGUUAAAUCAAGCAGCUCGAUCUCUAAUUUUGUGCGUUUUACACACAUGAAAAACACUUCUCCUCCCACUUGUAGGGCCUCUUUUCAGCCAUUGUGAAAAGCGAAGAAGCAUCUGUAGUGUUCUCACCCCUCCUCUGGCCUGGAUUGAUUUUAUGUAGUGUUCCAAGAGAAGAGCGGUAUAAUGAGAUCACAGCAUGCAUUUUUCAUGGACAGGAUGAAAGCGAUACAGACGCGGCGCAGAAUCUACAUUUCAAAUAAACUGCAGCCCACGUCCCUCCUAAAAAAAAAACCCUCAGAGUUCAUCCCUCAACGCUCUGCCUGUGAAGACAGUAACCUUUACCAACAGCAGGACCGAAACUGAGAGAGGAAACAGAGAGAGGAAACAGAGAGGCGGUUGAAGAUCAUCAUUAACAGGUCUUGGUGUUUGAACUGCGAGAAAAACAGAUUUUAACUUUAGAUGUAAAGAUCGAUGGAGGAUUUGUGAAGCUAAUGGUGUUUUUGGAUUCACUACCCAAGGUAGACCCUGGAUUUCCACCACAUUCGGAAUGGCUUAAAUCUGUAACAGUGGCGAUUUUACGCCAAUUCUUAACGGAUCUGUUUGUGAGGUAAAUUUCUUGGUGAAUUAUGGACAGCAGGAACUGUGAGAACUCACAAGAACCUGCAGAUUCACGUGCAAUCACGCGAUAACAAGUUUGUCAGGUUCAAGUGGACAUAUUUAACAAACUCGGAGGAUUCAGGAACACAGAAGAGACCAAAAGACGUUUUACUUGCACAAGGAGAGAAUGGCUGAGGAGAACUUCUCGAGUACUCGGUCAGUCCCUCUCUGCCAGUUCCUCUCCAACAGCACUCUUUUAUUUCAUGAUUAUGCAUAGUCAUCCAUAUCUGCUACCUCAGCAACGGUCACUUUUGCAAUACUUUCGGUUGACCUUUACAAAAGAGGAACAUGAUUAUUUUCAUAAUUUUUUGCAUAUGUAUGGCAUUAUUUUUAAGGAACAUAGGUGUUUUCACAUCUUUGCACAACACAUGGUACAGAGUUCAACACUUUCAUAUCCCCUUCUGCAGAACUAAAAGAUUAAGAGUUUAAGAUCAUUCUUCAACGAUUCAAAUCAUACUGAAAUCCAUCUGAAAGAAUUAAAUCACAUAUUAAUCAUAUAGAAUCAUCUAAAGCAUGAUAACUUUUUUAUAGAUUUUUCCAUCAAAGUUGUCUUUAGCCACAGAGGCUAACCAUAUAAGCAGUAGAUUGUGUCCUUCCAGAGGAGGAAAUGUACUUCUAGACUUCUAGAAUCAGCAUCUCCUCAUCCAUGGUGUCAUCAGGGUGAAAUGACGUCUAAAAACCUUUCACUUGUUCGUCUCCGCCCGUUUGCAUGGUGUGAAAUACGAUCCUCCUGAGUGUUUUAUUUUGAAAAGAAGCCGGAUGUUUUAUUUUGUGUCUGUCCACUUUGGCAGCAGCUGUGUACAAAGUUUAACAUUUUAACAAGAAACCCAAGUGGGAUUGGCUCAUUUUCGGAGCAGCCCCCCUAGUGGUUGUUCUAGUAACUGCAGUAUGUGAUGCUUUAGCAGUGUUGGGUCUAACCUGAGAGCUGUCAUCUGUCGGCGGCCUGAAAAUAGACUUGCUGCCAUUUCCUGUGGCUGUGUGACAGUGUGCGAGGGGAGACAGCUCAAUAACAGUCAUUACAUUCUGAUAAAGGCGGUAAUUUCAUUGCAGGAGGCAGGAGCUCUGUGUGUGUGUGUGUGUGUGUGUGUGUGUGUGUGUGUGUGUUGGGCUCGCCCUCCAGGACUUCACCAUGCAGAUGUCCUGAUGUAAAGGCACGUUUUCACACUCAUGCCUCGCUCUCAGCGCGCUCAUUACAGCGAGACAUAUCAUGGUAACCUUUAGCUAGCCUGAGGACGUACCGCUCUUUCGCCGACUUUACAACAUAAUUUCAAAAACGGUAAAAUAAUCUAUCCUGAGAUCUCGUGGAGGGUUGGUGGUACGAUCCCGGCUCCCUUAAUCCACUUGCAGUCGUAUCCCUAGGCAGAACAUUGAAAUCUAAUUGCUCCCAGUGGCAUAGCUGGUGUGACUGAGUGUUAACUGGAUGAGUUGACACUGAUGGCCACUUAAUAUAGCAGCCUCUACCACCAGUGUAUAACCUCUGGCUAAAACGCUACAGGCAUAAAGCACGAGUGCCACACACAAACACAGAUGCAGAUAUAGAAUUGGGAUUUUAAUCGUAUUAAAGAUUUGAUGACGUAAGAAAAAAUUAGCAGGAAACUUCUAUUUUUGUGGCGUUACCAUUGACUGAACGGAGAGGUUUAAGUUCAAUUCAUCAGAAGUUUAUGCCCACAUCUCUUUAUAUAGCUGGUUUUGUGGAGACUGUGGUCUGAGCUCAUGACUCCUCCGAGGUUUAUUAUCCACCACAGCUCCACGGACUGGAACAAUCUCUGCAGCUUCUCAUUUGCUGAGGUUAUUUCUGAGGGUUUAUUUCUGCAGAAGUCCUCGUACUCCGCUGGCAUGUAUCCUGAUUGAGCGACAGUUUGUGCAUUUCAAUUUCAUCCUGACAGGAAAAAUAGCCACUUCUGGUGGCUGGGGGGGUUGUGACAGUUUUGAUAAAUCCUGAUCAUAACCUCUGUCCUCUGGGAAUUUGCAAAUGAGUCUGUCGUUGGAAGAGAGAGCAUUUCUUACCCCGUCCCCUCUGGUUGCUGCUCAACUCGCCAUUUCUGUUUUCAUUUUAUAGUCGGGCUGUGACCCGAUUAAAAACAUUCAUCAAACUAAUCAGAGGUUUGUGGUGAAUUAAUUGCAAUUAAUCGCAUUUUAAUUGCAUGUAAAUAUUUGAUCUGAGAACAGUGAGAAUCAUUACUUUUUAAAUGUUAAAUUUUUUCAAAGAUGAUACUUAACCAAGACCAACAGAUCAGCGUUUUUUUAUGCCAUAAUAGAGUCCAGCAAUUUCAGGAUGUUAAUUUUUCUGACGUGGACUUACUCAUCUUAGCUCUGAAUCCACUCAUCUGGUCGAGUGUGGGUCGCUGUACUCGGAGUCGGACUGGCAUUAGCUUCCACGCUAGCUGCAACAUGUUUAGCAUUCAGGUGAUACCGAAGGGGUUAAGGUUAGGGUUAAAGGAAUAUUCCGGCGAAAAAUUAAGUUAGGGUCAAACACACCGUAACACAGAGUUAGACACCCCGUCGAGGGGUGGAUGUUGCCGACUGCUUGCUUCUCUAGUUAUACCAACUUUAGUAACGACCACAGGAUAGCAACACAGAGACGCUCAACCAAAACGCCACUCUAUAGCCACAAAUAAUGCUCAGAACAGCACCUAACUUCAUCAACAGGACAUAUACAAACAAGCGGCUGCUGGAAGAGAGUAGGUGAGUUGUGUUUAGUCUCUCUGCUAAAGAAUUUAGUCAAAGUUAAAAAGACGUUUGGUGUCUAGUACUAUGGCUGUGACCCUCUAUGUCCUGUUGAUGAAGUUAGGUGCUGUUCUGAGCAUUUUUUGUGGCUAUAGAGUGGUGUUUUAGUUGAGGGCGUGGCUCUCUGUAUUGCUAUCCUGCGGUCGUUACUAAAGUUGGUAUAACUAGAGAAGCAAGCGGUCGACAACAUUCAUCUGUUGAGGGGGUGUCUAACUCUGACCCUAAAUUCGCCGGAAUAUCCCUUUAAGGUUAGGGUUAGGGUCUGGGCUUCCAUCCAUCAAAAAGGCCCAUCCACGCCUGAGCCAAUCAAAGCACAUUUAUCCGCGACCUCGUUCAUUUUUCUAUGCGCAGGGUGGGACUGGAAUCACUGCUGCACUCACGCUCGGGGACGCUGGUAUAAGCGGUAUACCUGAAACUCGUCCAGUGAGAAACGUUUCGUAAAAUACAGUAGGUGUGAUAGUUUAUCAAAUAUUUUUAACGAGAUAAUGUUACUGUAAUUAAUUGAUCGCAUUUAAUGCGUUAAAGUCCCAGCCCUAUUUUAUAGCUAACUCAUUGAAAUGCUGAUUCCUCGUUUGUCUCAUUUUUACACUGCUUUGUCUCCACUUAUUACUCUCUCUCUCUCUCUCUCUCUCUCUCUCUCUUUUUCUCUCUAGUUGAAAAGCAGAUUCCUCCGUUCGCUCGCCUCAUGUCUCAGCAGCAUGUUUGGGUGGAUGUUCACGCUGUAAAUGCAUCAGUUAACUCAUGUUCGACACUCCCCUCUGCCCGCUGGAUCACACAUCUCUGAGUAACUCGCUGUCACAACAUAUUUGUGCACUAACAACACACACACACACACACUCCUCUGUCAUGUUCAGGAUUGGUGUGUCUCUUCCUCUGUGGCCUAACAAGAGAUUACUGCUCAAAAAUAAGCAAGAGCAGAAGCUUCACAGGCAGACAGAGGAGUCAUAUUAUCAAGUGUCGUGUUUUAACGUGAUGUUGUGAUGUUUUUAUUAAGAGGUAGAUGUGAUCAGACAAAAAAAUCCAAAAAACUGGUAAGUCUUAAAAGAAGAAUAACAUCCAAACAAUUAGGAAAAUUUAAAAUGACCAAGUAAUCUAGAACAGAACAGCCUUUAUUGUCAUUGCACAAAAUCAAUCAUUUAGAAUUAAGAUUAUAGAUAUACAAUAAAAAAGACAUAUUGCACUAUUGCCCAUAAAGCUGUUUUUCAGUAAAGCUUUUAUCUCAGUAAAAAAAAAAAAAACUGACAGAAAUGUGGUCUUUAAAGACAGAUGUGACUCUGUCGUGGAAAUCGCUGCAUGCCGUCAAAAUCACAUCCAUCACAUGCUGUCUAUGAUCAGAGUUUGUUGUCUGUAUAACUAACUGCUGUUAUAAAAUCAUCCUUUCUCUUUAUUUAGGUUAUUUGAUGCCCCUUUAGAUAACUUUAGAUCAUGUUUACAGUAUUUUACCAUUUUUUUUUCUGAUCCAUUUAUUCAUUAAGUCUAGCAUAUCUGUCAGUCUUUAUUCAUUCUAGACUUAACUUCAUAUUUUAGCUCUCGUGUAUGAUUUAUUGUCUGUCUCUGUGUUUUAUGUGUUUCUGCAAAUAUACUCACUCUGAAUUAUGGAUUCUCUCUCUCUCUCUCUCUCUCUCUCUCUCUCUCUCUCUCUCUCUCUGCUGUUAUUGUUCUUUCCUUCAUAUGAGAGAAUUUUGUAAAAUCAUCAGUCUCACCACUUCACUGCUUUCAGGGCUUGCAGUGAAGAUCCUCCAGGAUGCAGUUAAGUGCAGUCAGUAUGCAUCCUUGGCAUUGAUCGCAGGUACUUAUAAUUUCACAGUAUUGACAGGCAGUAAAUACUUCUCCUGUUGUGUACUGACGGAGGACUGACGGAGGACUGACGGAGGGAGGGGAGGGGAGCCGUGCAGUCAGGGAGAUGGAUGCCGACAGGGACCGACGACCGACGCUCUGAAUGUUCAGGAAUGUAAAUAUAACACACCUCCCCUCCCUCUCUCUCCGCCAGCAGCUCCUCCUCAUCCUGCCGGAGCUCUAACAGUGAUGGAGAUCACCAUGGCAACAGAGUUUCUACCUGAAAGCGAGGCUGUGGAGAAACUGGGAGAGGAGGAGGGAUGGAGCGGCUCAUAACAGACUGUGAUUUAUGGAGGUCUGAGGAGAGGACAUUUACAACCUGUCACACAUAUGUGAGCACACACAGAGACAGGGGAGGGAGAAACAGGCUGGCGUUCGCUCUGUUUUUUCAGGCUUCAUGUAAAAAUACAGCACACUCGUAUUUAUUCUUUCUGCUGCUCUGCUGUGGACAUUUCUGUCAAUUUUUCCUAACUGUAACACAACAUAAUUGUACUCUCACUAACCUCCAGAAUAUUUACACAAUAAACUUCUUUAAAUAUCUGAAAAA